UUGUUUCAUAAACCAGAUGUAUACUGAUACAUAAGGCAUUGUGUAUUGUUUCAUAAACCAAAUGUAUACUGAUACAUAAAGCGUUGUGUAUUGUUUCAUAAACCAGAUGUAUACUGAUAUACAAAGCAUUGUGUAUUGUUUCAUAAUCCAGAUGUAUACUGAUACAUAAAACACUGUGUACUGUUUCAUAAACCAGAUGUAUACUGAUACAUAAGGCAUUGUGUACUGUUUCAUAAAUCAGAUGUAUACUGAUACAUAAAGCAUUGUGUAUUGUUUCAUAAACCAGAUGUAUACUGAUACAUAAAGCAUUGUGUAUCGUUUCAUAAACCAGAUGUAUACUGAUACAUCAAGCGUUGUGUAUUGUUUCAUAAACCAGAUGUAUACUGAUACAUAAAGCAUUGUGUAUUGUUUCAUAAUCCAGAUGUAUACUGAUACAUAAGGCAUUGUGUAUUGUUUCAUAAACCAGAUGUAUACUGAUACAUAAGGCAUUGUGUACUGUUUCAUAAACCAGAUGUAUACUGAUACAUAAAGCAUUGUGUACUGUUUUAUAAAUCAGAUAUAUACUGAUACAUAAAACAUUGUGUAUUGUUUCAUAAACCAGAUGUAUACUGAUACAUUAAGCAUUAUGUAUUGUUUCAUAAACCAGAUGUAUACUGAUACAUAAAACACUGUGUACUGUUUCAUAAACCAGAUGUAUACUGAUACAUAAAGCAUUGUGUAUUGUUUCAUAAACCAGAUGUAUACUGAUACAUAAAGCAUUGUGUAUUGUUUCAUAAACCAGAUGUAUACUGAUACAUAAAGCGUUGUGUAUUGUUUCAUAAACCAGAUGUAUACUUAUACAUAAGGCAUUGUGUACGGUUUCAUAAAUCAGAUGUAUUCUGAUAUAUGAAGCAGUGUGCAUUGUUUCAUAAACCAGAUGUAUACUGAUACAUAAAGCAUUGUGUAUUGUUUCAUAAACCAGAUGUAUUCUGAUACCUAAAGCAAUGUGUAUUGUUUCAUAAACCAGGUAUAUACCGUUACAUAAAACACUGUGUACCGUUUCAUAAAUCAGGUGUAUACUGUUACCCAAAGCAUUGUGUAUUGAUUCAUAAACCAGAUGUAUACUGAUAUAUAAAGCAUUGUGUAUUGUUUCAUAAACCAGAUGUAUACUGAUACAUAAAGCAUUGUGUAUUGUUUCAUAAACCAGAUGUAUACUGA
This is a long non-coding RNA of Haliotis rubra (blacklip abalone), 1197 nucleotides long. RefSeq lists it as uncharacterized. The transcript has 2 exons. NCBI's taxonomy places the organism in Eukaryota, Metazoa, Mollusca, Gastropoda, Lepetellida, Haliotidae. The record is from RefSeq and is a predicted model, not a curated record.